GGGAUUGCCUCAGUAACGGCGAGUGAAGCGGCAACAGCUCAAAUUUGAAAUCUGGCCCCGUCGGGGUCCGAGUUGUAAUUUGUAGAGAGUGCUUCGGGCGAGGCCUCGGUCUAAGUCCAUUGGAACAUGGUGUCAUAGAGGGUGAGAAUCCCGUAUGCGACCGUGGCUCGAACCCAUGUGAAGCCUCUUCGACGAGUCGAGUUGUUUGGGAAUGCAGCUCAAAAUGGGUGGUAAAUUUCAUCUAAAGCUAAAUACUGGCUGGAGACCGAUAGCGCACAAGUAGAGUGAUCGAAAGAUGAAAAGCACUUUGGAAAGAGAGUCAAACAGUACGUGAAAUUGUUGAAAGGGAAGCGCUUGCAACCAGACCUGCCCGUAGGCGAUCAGCCGCUGUUCUCAGCGGUGCACUCGUUCUGCGAUCAGGCCAGCAUCGGUUUCGGCGGUCGGAUAAAGGCCUUGGGAAUGUAGCUUCCCCUCGGGGGAGUCUUAUAGCCCUCGGUGCAAUGCGGCCAGCCGGGACCGAGGACCGCGCUUCGGCUAGGAUGCUGGCGUAAUGGUUGUAAGCGACCCGUCUUGAAACACGGACCAAGGAGUCUAACAUCUAUGCGAGUGUUUGGGUGUCAAACCCAUGCGCGGAAUGAAAGUGAACGGAGGUGAGAACCCUCAAGGGCGCAUCAUCGACCGAUCCAGAUGUCUUCGGAUGGAUUUGAGUAUGAGCAUAGCUGUUGGGACCCGAAAGAUGAUGAACUAUACCUGAAUAGGGUGAAGCCAGAGGAAACUCUGGUGGAGGCUCGCAGCGGUUCUGACGUGCAAAUCGAUCGUCAAAUUUGGGUAUAGGGGCGAAAGACUAAUCGAAUCA
Molecule: ribosomal RNA, 856 nt
Filed under: Xanthoparmelia hueana
Lineage: Eukaryota; Fungi; Ascomycota; Lecanoromycetes; Lecanorales; Parmeliaceae
Description: eukaryotic LSU rRNA
Rfam family: Eukaryotic large subunit ribosomal RNA
Source: RNAcentral